CUGGAGGUAUCAGAAGUGCGAAUGCUGACAUAAGUAACGAUAAAGCGGGUGAAAAGCCCGCUCGCCGGAAGACCAAGGGUUCCUGUCCAACGUUAAUCGGGGCAGGGUGAGUCGACCCCUAAGGCGAGGCCGAAAGGCGUAGUCGAUGGGAAACAGGUUAAUAUUCCUGUACUUGGUGUUACUGCGAAGGGGGGACGGAGAAGGCUAUGUUGGCCGGGCGACGGUUGUCCCGGUUUAAGCGUGUAGG
RNAcentral lists this ribosomal RNA (247 nucleotides) under Escherichia coli. RNAcentral's name for it is "partial 23S ribosomal RNA". It matches the Rfam family "Bacterial large subunit ribosomal RNA", at positions 1273 to 1524 of the family's 2925-position model. Lineage: Bacteria; Pseudomonadati; Pseudomonadota; Gammaproteobacteria; Enterobacterales; Enterobacteriaceae. The record is from RNAcentral.